AUGAUUUCUCCGCGCACUCUCUCGCUCGCCUUCGCUCCCAUUCUCUCUCUCUCCUUCCCCCACAAGCGCGUGCGUCUCCUCCCUCCAUCCCUCUCCCGGCGGCGGCGGCGGCGGCGGGCGAACACCGACCGAUCGCGAGCAGCAAUGUCAGGCAAGUACAUCAUCGGUUCGCUGGUUGGAUCCCUUGGCAUUGCAUAUGUCUCCGACACCAUCGUUUCCGACAAGAAGAUCUUCGGAGGCACCGUCUGCAAGACGGCGACAGACAAGGAGUGGUUUCAGGCCACGGACGCCAAGUUCCAGGCCUGGCCCCGUGUCGCCGGGCCGCCGGUCAUCAUGAACCCCAUCAGCCGCCAGAACUUCAUCGUGAAGGACCCCUGA
Molecule: ribosomal RNA, 378 nt
Filed under: Triticum aestivum (bread wheat)
Lineage: Eukaryota; Viridiplantae; Streptophyta; Magnoliopsida; Poales; Poaceae
Description: partial small subunit ribosomal RNA
Source: RNAcentral